AGAUUGAACGCUGGCGGCAGGCCUAACACAUGCAAGUCGAGCGGUAGAGAGGUGCUUGCAUCUCUUGAGAGCGGCGGACGGGCGAGUAAUGCCUAGGAAUCUGCCUAGUGGUGGGGGAUAACGUUCGGAAACGGACGCUAAUACCGCAUACGUCCUACGGGAGAAAGCGGGGGACCUUCGGGCCUCGCGCCAUUAGAUGAGCCUAGGUCGGAUUAGCUAGUUGGUGAGGUAAUGGCUCACCAAGGCGACGAUCCGUAACUGGUCUGAGAGGAUGAUCAGUCACACUGGAACUGAGACACGGUCCAGACUCCGUACGGGAGGCAGCAGUGGGGAAUAUGGACAAGUGGGACGAAAGCCUGAUCCAGCCAU
This 369-nucleotide ribosomal RNA is filed under the name uncultured soil bacterium. Its description in RNAcentral is "bacterial SSU rRNA". It matches the Rfam family "Bacterial small subunit ribosomal RNA", at positions 26 to 395 of the family's 1533-position model. The record is from RNAcentral.